RNAcentral lists this ribosomal RNA (1530 nucleotides) under Escherichia coli. RNAcentral describes it as "bacterial SSU rRNA". It matches the Rfam family "Bacterial small subunit ribosomal RNA". The record is from RNAcentral. Lineage: Bacteria; Pseudomonadati; Pseudomonadota; Gammaproteobacteria; Enterobacterales; Enterobacteriaceae.
AGAGUUUGAUCAUGGCUCAGAUUGAACGCUGGCGGCAGGCCUAACACAUGCAAGUCGAACGGUAACAGGAAGAAGCUUGCUUCUUUGCUGACGAGUGGCGGACGGGUGAGUAAUGUCUGGGAAACUGCCUGAUGGAGGGGGAUAACUACUGGAAACGGUAGCUAAUACCGCAUAACGUCGCAAGACCAAAGAGGGGGACCUUCGGGCCUCUUGCCAUCGGAUGUGCCCAGAUGGGAUUAGCUAGUAGGUGGGGUAACGGCUCACCUAGGCGACGAUCCCUAGCUGGUCUGAGAGGAUGACCAGCCACACUGGAACUGAGACACGGUCCAGACUCCUACGGGAGGCAGCAGUGGGGAAUAUUGCACAAUGGGCGCAAGCCUGAUGCAGCCAUGCCGCGUGUAUGAAGAAGGCCUUCGGGUUGUAAAGUACUUUCAGCGGGGAGGAAGGGAGUAAAGUUAAUACCUUUGCUCAUUGACGUUACCCGCAGAAGAAGCACCGGCUAACUCCGUGCCAGCAGCCGCGGUAAUACGGAGGGUGCAAGCGUUAAUCGGAAUUACUGGGCGUAAAGCGCACGCAGGCGGUUUGUUAAGUCAGAUGUGAAAUCCCCGGGCUCAACCUGGGAACUGCAUCUGAUACUGGCAAGCUUGAGUCUCGUAGAGGGGGGUAGAAUUCCAGGUGUAGCGGUGAAAUGCGUAGAGAUCUGGAGGAAUACCGGUGGCGAAGGCGGCCCCCUGGACGAAGACUGACGCUCAGGUGCGAAAGCGUGGGGAGCAAACAGGAUUAGAUACCCUGGUAGUCCACGCCGUAAACGAUGUCGACUUGGAGGUUGUGCCCUUGAGGCGUGGCUUCCGGAGCUAACGCGUUAAGUCGACCGCCUGGGGAGUACGGCCGCAAGGUUAAAACUCAAAUGAAUUGACGGGGGCCCGCACAAGCGGUGGAGCAUGUGGUUUAAUUCGAUGCAACGCGAAGAACCUUACCUGGUCUUGACAUCCACGGAAGUUUUCAGAGAUGAGAAUGUGCCUUCGGGAACCGUGAGACAGGUGCUGCAUGGCUGUCGUCAGCUCGUGUUGUGAAAUGUUGGGUUAAGUCCCGCAACGAGCGCAACCCUUAUCCUUUGUUGCCAGCGGUCCGGCCGGGAACUCAAAGGAGACUGCCAGUGAUAAACUGGAGGAAGGUGAGGAUGACGUCAAGUCAUCAUGGCCCUUACGACCAGGGCUACACACGUGCUACAAUGGCGCAUACAAAGAGAAGCGACCUCGCGAGAGCAAGCGGACCUCAUAAAGUGCGUCGUAGUCCGGAUUGGAGUCUGCAACUCGACUCCAUGAAGUCGGAAUCGCUAGUAAUCGUGGAUCAGAAUGCCACGGUGAAUACGUUCCCGGGCCUUGUACACACCGCCCGUCACACCAUGGGAGUGGGUUGCAAAAGAAGUAGGUAGCUUAACCUUCGGGAGGGCGCUUACCACUUUGUGAUUCAUGACUGGGGUGAAGUCGUAACAAGGUAACCGUAGGGGAACCUGCGGUUGGAUCACCU